Molecule: RNA transcript, 1862 nt
Organism: Pecten maximus
Lineage: Eukaryota; Metazoa; Mollusca; Bivalvia; Pectinida; Pectinidae
Gene name: 2-oxoisovalerate dehydrogenase subunit beta, mitochondrial-like
Exons: 10
Source: RefSeq, a predicted model, not a curated record
UGGCUGCCUCCAUGAAGCGGUUACUUCGGCUCGUUGGGAAACCUCGGCUGUUUACUCACAUGCUGCGUAAACAGUUAGUUGUAUCACAAAGGGCUUACGCAGUGAAGUAUGUUCCCGAUAUUCCACCACCAGAAUUAGGUGAAACAAACCGUUCUAAUUUGGUACAGUCACUGAACAAUGCAAUGGAUAUAGCUAUGUCAACAGACCCAACAUCUGUGUUGUUUGGUGAAGAUGUGGCAUUUGGUGGUGUGUUUAGGUGCAGCGUCAAUCUCAGAGAAAACUACGGUCCUGAUCGGGUAUUUAACACCCCUCUCAGUGAGCAAGGCAUCGUGGCGUUUGGUAUUGGCCUGGCCACAGCUGGGGCUACAGCUAUAGCAGAAAUCCAGUUUGCCGACUACAUUUUCCCAGCUUUUGAUCAGAUAGCUAACGAAGCAGCCAAGUUUCGGUACCGUACAGGUAAUCUGUUUGAUUGUGGUAAGCUGACCAUCAGGACGCCGUGUGGAGCUGUAGGACAUGGAGCACUAUAUCAUUCCCAAAGUCCAGAGGCAUUCUUUGCUCACCUGCCAGGCCUAAAGGUUGUCGUUCCACGAGGCCCCCAGCAGGCCAAGGGUCUUCUCCUUAGUUGUAUACGUGAUGAGAACCCUUGUAUAUUUAUGGAGCCUAAGAUUCUGUAUCGUGGCGCUGUUGAAGAGGUACCAGUUGGGGACUACGAGAUACCCUUAUCUAAGGCUGAUGUCCUUGUAGAAGGAAGUGAUGUCACACUGGUUGGCUGGGGAACACAGGUUCAUGUUCUCCGUGAGGUGGCUCAAAUGGCUCAAGAAAAACUGAAUGUGUCAUGUGAACUGAUUGAUCUGCAGACGAUUCUCCCCUGGGAUCAAGAUACCAUUAUAAAUUCUGUUUGUAAGACAGGGAAGCUGUUAAUUGCCCAUGAGGCCCCUAUCACUAUGGGUUUUGCCUCCGAGAUAGCUGCAACUGUACAGAGUGAAUGUUUCCUGAACUUGGAGGCUCCUAUACAGAGAAUCUGUGGGUAUGACACACCUUUCCCACAUGUGUAUGAGGCCUUCUACCUACCAGAUAAGUGGAGAUGUUUUGAGGCUGUGAAAACACUUGUGAACUAUUAACCAGUGGUCAAAACAUUGAAAGUGAUGUUUCCUUAUGAAUAGCAUAUGGUUAUCAUGUGAUGGAAAGAUCAUGUGAUCGUCAUGUGACUGAAAUUAUCUUGUGAUCAUCAUGUGAAGGAAAUUAUCAUGUGACGAACAGCUUUACUUGUCUGAAUCUCAUUUGCCCACAUUGUGAAGGAGUUUUUGUUAUACUGACUGAAUCUGUACACAAGUGUGAGUUCACCAUUUUACUUCAGGUACAAUAUAACCUUAGGAGAUCCACUUCUUCAAAAUGUUUACUACAGGUACAAUACAAACUUAGGAGACCCACUUCUGAUAUAGAAAUAUCACCUAAAUUGAAAUUUUGUAUUCAAGAGUAAAUUAAUUACAGUCAGAGAAAAUAAUAUUACCCAGUAUCGUCUUAUGUAAUCAGGGACCACAGGUUGUUUAAGUAUAAAAUUUAAUAAUUAAAAAAGAUUGAGUAUAUUUUGUUAGUCUUGAAAAUGUGUUAUGUACAUAUGUGUGCUUUAGAUUAUAACAUAUUAUGGUAUUCACAAGAAGCAAUAAUGUUUACCCCAGUGCUAAAAUGUGAGGGGAAUUUAUCUUAUAAAUGAGAGUAUUUAUUGUUAAUAUGUGUAUAGACACAGUCCAACUGGUUUAAACAUACCGUAUUUGACCUAAUAAGGGCGCAGGGCGCGGGUAAUUGACAGUGGGGGCGCCCUUAUUAAGAUUAGUUAUUCUGAAGUUUUAUGAAACAGACUA